UGUAAAUUGGCAGGGUAACAUUUGUUACGGUAUUGGCUUAUUUGGUAUUUUUUAACAGCUAUCGAUAAUUUGGCUAGAUGCCAGGGUGGAGUAUGCGGCCGUGGAGAACAUCAUUACGCCUAUUGGUCUCGUCUUCGGCUGCGAAGUGGAAUCCUUGCGAGUGCCGGCGCUAAACUGGGACUGCAGGACAGCAUCAACAGGGCUGAAGCUGGCCGAGGUCCAGUGCAUCGUCAUUCUGGAUUUUCUUUUCAGCCGCCGCCAUCAUCUGGAUUCUGGAGCUGCCGCCGUCCAUCAUCAGGUUCUCUGCUAGGGCCGUCAUUUGCCUG
This is a long non-coding RNA of Drosophila miranda, 326 nucleotides long. RefSeq lists it as uncharacterized. The record is from RefSeq and is a predicted model, not a curated record. NCBI's taxonomy places the organism in Eukaryota, Metazoa, Arthropoda, Insecta, Diptera, Drosophilidae. The transcript has 3 exons.